UUUUAAAUUUGGAAGUUCAUAACAUGAUCCUGAAGGCACUUUGGACAAUUUUUGAUUAAUGACAACUAAAAAUUUUCAAGGCAGAGCACUAAACACUUAAAAGCGGGGAAGAAAUAAUAAGAUUGUGAACACUUGCGGGGUAAAAUCAAAAAGCAAAUAUUCUGACAUUUACAGUUCUAAGGAUAAUUCUAUUUUAAGGAUGAUUCUGUCUGCAAGUAAAGUUAUUAGAUAUCUAUAUACUAUAUCAGAUAUCUUCAGCUAACGAAUGUCCACUAGAUAGAAGAUAGCUUAGCAUUCAGGCAAGUAGUUAAGGCUGGGGAUAGUUACCUGUUUAUUCAUUCAUUCACUAUAUAUUAUAGGGUGUUAACUGUGCCUCAGGCAUUGUAAUAGGAAC
This 394-nucleotide long non-coding RNA is filed under the name Pan troglodytes (chimpanzee). RNAcentral's name for it is "long non-coding RNA NONPTRT012443". The record is from RNAcentral. Lineage: Eukaryota; Metazoa; Chordata; Mammalia; Primates; Hominidae.